AUUCCGGUUGAUCCUGCCGGAGGCCAUUGCUAGUGGAGUCCGAUUUAGCCAUGCUAGUCGUGCGAGUUCAGACUCGUGGCACCGAGCUCAGUAACACGUGGCCAAUCUCCCCUUCAGCGGCGGACACCCUCGGGAAACUGAGGCUAAUCCGCCAUACACCUCUCAGACCGGAAUCGCAGAGGUCACAAAACGCCCCGAGCGCUGUAGGAUGAGGCUGCGGCCGAUUAGGUAGACGGUGGGGUAACGGCCCACCGUGCCCAUAAUCGGUACGGGUCGUGAGAGCGAGAACCCGGAGACGGAAUCUGAGACAAGAUUCCGGGCCCUACGGGGCGCAGCAGGCGCGAAACCUUUACACUGCACGCCAGUGCGAUAAGGGGACUCCAAGUGCGAGGGCAUAUCGUCCUCGCUUUCCUGUACUGUAGGGUAGUACACCAACAAGGGCUGGGCAAGACCGGUGCCAGCCGCCGCGGUAAUACCGGCAGCCCGAGUGAUGGCCGAUCUUAUUGGGCCAAAGCGUCCGUAGCU
This 525-nucleotide ribosomal RNA is filed under the name uncultured haloarchaeon. RNAcentral describes it as "bacterial SSU rRNA". It matches the Rfam family "Archaeal small subunit ribosomal RNA", at positions 1 to 526 of the family's 1478-position model. The record is from RNAcentral. Lineage: Archaea; Methanobacteriati; Methanobacteriota; Halobacteria; Halobacteriales; Halobacteriaceae.